UGUCUAUUAAUUGUAGACCCGUAUGAAUGGCAAAAUGAGGGUUUAACUGUCUCUUAUGAUAAAUCAAUUAAACUGAUCUCCCAGUCCAAAAGCUGGAAUACCCCCAUAAGACCAGAAGACCCUGUGAAGCUUUAACUAAACUAUUAAACCCAAUAAUAGCUCCUUUGGGUUGGGGCGACCUUGGAAAAAAAAAGAACUUCCAAACUAAAUGAUUUACACCAUACUUUAUUAGGCCGACAAGCCUACUAACAGACCCAGCACAGCUGAGUAAUGAACCAAGUUACUCCAGGGAUAACAGCGCCAUCUUCUUCAAGAGCCCAUAUCAAAAAGAAGGUUUACGACCUCGAUGUUGGAUCAGGACAUCCUAAUGGUGCAGCCGCUAUUNNGGGUUCGUUUGUUCAACGAUUAACAGU
Molecule: ribosomal RNA, 413 nt
Filed under: Boaedon fuliginosus (brown house snake)
Lineage: Eukaryota; Metazoa; Chordata; Lepidosauria; Squamata; Lamprophiidae
Description: partial 16S ribosomal RNA
Rfam family: Bacterial large subunit ribosomal RNA
Source: RNAcentral